Molecule: long non-coding RNA, 2406 nt
Organism: Protopterus annectens (West African lungfish)
Lineage: Eukaryota; Metazoa; Chordata; Ceratodontiformes; Protopteridae
Exons: 6
Source: RefSeq, a predicted model, not a curated record
AGCAAGGAAAGGCAUUUAGUUAGAUCUACACACACAGACAUCCAAACAAAAUUUAAGAUGAGUGAACAGAAACUCUUCUAGGAUAUACCUGUAGUGCUCCAGGUUUGAUGACUGUCAAAGGAUAGUGGCUUGAAGCAGCUAAAAUGAUCUUAUUGAGAGGGGUGUUUUUUUAAAGGAAAAAGAGACUGAAGAAAAGGCAUGAAUUCGGCAUGCAUCCUUCUUUCAGAAAAUACAAACUAACUGAAAGGUGCAAGAAUGAAAAACAGCAAUGAAAAUUUGAAAACUUAACACUGGACUCUGGAAGAUUUUGCCACACUAACGCAUACCCUUAGAUGCUACAAGUACAGAGUAACAAUAAACUGAAAGGUUCAAGAAUGAAAAACAGCAAUGAAACUUUGAAAACUUAACACUGGACUCUGGAAGAAUUUUGCCACACUAACGCAUACCCUUAGAUGCUACAAGUACAGAGUGACAAUAAACUGAAAGGUUCAAGAAUGAAAAACAGCAAUGAAACUUUGAAAACUUAACACUGGACUCUGGAAGAAUUUUGCCACACUAACGCAUACCCUUAGAUGCUACAAGUACAGAGUGACAAUAAGUGAUCCCCAAGUCCUGUUAUCCACAGCAAAUCUUCAACACCCAUUAGAAGCUUUAAUUGAUCAUGAUGUUACACAUGUAUUAGGAGGGAAAACAGAUGUAGGCAUCCAAACUGUACUGACUGAAGCUAAUGGCAAGUUCUGCCCAUGAAAACAGGAUUAUGGGACUGAAUUAAUACAUCCAGUGAUACAACAAGAAUCGUAUGGCAUAUGGAUGCUAUUGGGAUCCUGGCCCAUGAAAGCCUAGCACUUGGAACUAGCUGCACAAUUACAGAGAUGGGACGUGUGACUAUCUGUACUGUAUGUUAUAUACUAUACUACAGCAGUUUCAGAGUCUCCGAUAGUUCUGGAUCAGAUAUCAUAAAAAAAAAAUCUUUAUGACUAAUCUAACCACAGCACAGAACCUGCCUGUGUGUAACUUGUGACUGCAACACCCUACUUCCUGUACUGCAGUAUGUCCCGAGACUGAUUCAGAUACAAAAAGUGCAGUCUUGUAAUGUUGCAUUUAUAUAUCAGUGAAGAGCAAACAUCUUUUGCCACCAGAAUGUGAGGGAAGGGAGCAGCCCACAGAAUAAAAACUGUGACACUAAAAUGUUUCUAAUGUCUAAUAUUUUAAUGGCACUAGCCAGCAUGGAAAUAUUGCAAUUAUUUCUCAUAGCUUCUCAUAGAUUCUGGUAGCAAUGCUCAAGUCUGAAGGCUGUUGAGAGCAUUGAUUCAUUAAAAGUGAUGUCAUAUACGUCAUUUCCCAUUCAGGUAUUAAGUUUGAUCUUAAAAGUGAAAAUAGUACUGAUAGUCUAAUAUUGAUAGGUAGGUUAUUCCCAAUCCUGGAAACCACAAUUGUUAAGUAUUUGCUCUGCAUGCUCUUAAGACAAUAUUGUAUAUUGAAGUUAUUGUUAUUAUGUCUGUGUUUUCAUAGUUAAUAGAUAAGGAAAUGUUGAAAAUAGAUUGUAGGAACUCAUUACAAAUGUUAUAUGCAACUAUUGCUUUAUAUUUCAUGUGAUGGUAGUAGAUAGAAAGCAAUUUCAGCUCUUUGUACUAGUCGCUAUAACUUAGAUUUCUCACAGAUGGAAAUUUGGUAGUAUAAUUCACACUGUACGUAUUCCAUAUUCUUUAUGUUUGCCCAAUAGUACAAGUAGAAACUAUUUAAAAACUUUAUUCAUUUAAGUAGGUAGAUGGACGAGUGUCCUAUUAGAACAAGAGCAUUCAUCCAUCUACCUACAACUACUUGAAACUUCAAAAAAGGCAUCUUUAUUCCUUCCAAAGGGAGGGUAUCAGAGAGAUAGUCUCCUAGAUCUGCUAGUUAAAGUGAUUUUACCUGGAAUAAUCCAUAUGCACUAUAAUGCAUACUUUCCCAAAUUCUAAACUAUCUCCUAAAGAAUCUCCUGGCUAACACACAACACUGAUUUCAACCCAAUCCUAGCACCCCCACAGCCUUUAUUAGCUUUUCCUACACUGUAAAUCAACAACAGAACAACGGUAACCUGGUCUUCACUAUCUUUCUUGAUCUCUCCAAGGCAUUUGACACAGUCUCCCAUGCCAAACUCCUAACUGUAUUCUCAAAACUCAACCUAAGUAACUCCACACUAUUAUGGUUUAAAAACUAUAUAACUGUCAACAAGCCAUAAAAUGGCAAAACUCUGUAUCUCCUCUUCUCCCUGUUACCUAAGGUGUCCCACAAGGAUCCAUCCUCAGACCAUUCCUCUUCACCAUACUUACAAAUAACCUUAACAAAGCCACCCUCCAUGCCAGUCUGCUCUGGUAUGCCAACAACUCCAUACUAAUUUGCUCUGCCCCCUCUCUCCAACUUCUG